Saccostrea cuccullata (small rock oyster) is the source of this 222-nucleotide long non-coding RNA. RefSeq lists it as uncharacterized. The record is from RefSeq and is a predicted model, not a curated record. The transcript has 3 exons. Lineage: Eukaryota; Metazoa; Mollusca; Bivalvia; Ostreida; Ostreidae.
CCGGUCUUUCAUUUAUUAUAUGAACAUUUUAUUUCUACAUUAUGAGUCUUCCAAUUCGCAGUUAUGUGAUGGGAAUCGAUGCUGUAAUGGUUUUAUCUGGAACGAUACAUUGAAUGCAUGUAUAAAAUGUAGGGGUGGUUAUUAUGGGAUUCAUUGCAAUAUUUCCUGUCGCCCACCGACGUUUGGCUGGUAUUGUCUUUCAACAUGCAGUUGUAUAGAAGA